This 76-nucleotide transfer RNA is filed under the name Clostridium rhizosphaerae. Its description in RNAcentral is "tRNA-His". It matches the Rfam family "tRNA". From Rfam's summary of the family: Transfer RNA (tRNA) molecules are approximately 80 nucleotides in length. Their secondary structure includes four short double-helical elements and three loops (D, anti-codon, and T loops). RNAcentral also lists the same sequence under 2 other names. Lineage: Bacteria; Bacillati; Bacillota; Clostridia; Eubacteriales; Clostridiaceae. The record is from RNAcentral.
GUGGACGUAGUUCAAUUGGCAGAGCACCGGAUUGUGGUUCCGGCUGUUGUGGGUUCGAGUCCCAUCGUCCACCCCA